This 253-nucleotide ribosomal RNA is filed under the name uncultured prokaryote. Its description in RNAcentral is "partial 16S ribosomal RNA". It matches the Rfam family "Bacterial small subunit ribosomal RNA", at positions 523 to 775 of the family's 1533-position model. The record is from RNAcentral.
AGACGAACCGUGCAAACGUUGUUCGGAAUCACUGGGCUUAAAGGGCGCGUAGGCGGGCCAGCCAGUCUGUGGUGAAAGCCUCCAGCUUAACUGGAGAAGUGCCGUGGAUACUGCUGGCCUCGAGGAGGGUAGGGGCAUCUGGAACGGUCGGUGGAGCGGUGAAAUGCGUUGAUAUCGACCGGAACUCCGGUGGCGAAGGCGAGGUGCUGGACCCUUUCUGACGCUGAUGCGCGAAAGCCAGGGGAGCAAACGG